This 119-nucleotide small nucleolar RNA is filed under the name Meriones unguiculatus (Mongolian gerbil). Its description in RNAcentral is "Small nucleolar RNA SNORA17 (ENSMUGG00000026119.1)". It matches the Rfam family "Small nucleolar RNA SNORA17". From Rfam's summary of the family: snoRNA ACA 17 belongs to the H/ACA family of snoRNAs and is predicted to guide pseudouridylation of the 28S rRNA at positions U4659 and U4598. Lineage: Eukaryota; Metazoa; Chordata; Mammalia; Rodentia; Muridae. The record is from RNAcentral.
CCCGCCCCAGAAGAGCUGCAGGUGCGGCUGCAUGCCAACAGGUGGCAGAGGAGAGCGAGGCUCUGUCUACGCUCAGUGUUCUGACUUGUGAACAUCUGAAUGAUUAGUAGCCUAACAUU